RNAcentral lists this ribosomal RNA (266 nucleotides) under uncultured bacterium. RNAcentral's name for it is "partial 16S ribosomal RNA". It matches the Rfam family "Bacterial small subunit ribosomal RNA", at positions 87 to 354 of the family's 1533-position model. The record is from RNAcentral.
UCCGGCGACCGGCGCACGGGUGAGUAACACGUAUGCAACCUGCCCUCUUCAGGGGGACAACCCUCCGAAAGGGAGGCUAAUCCCGCGUAUAUCGGUUUCGGGCAUCCGAGAUCGAGGAAAGAUUCAUCGGAAGAGGAUGGGCAUGCGGCGCAUUAGCUAGACGGCGGGGUAACGGCCCACCGUGGCGACGAUGCGUAGGGGUUCUGAGAGGAAGGCCCCCCACACUGGAACUGAGACACGGUCCAGACUCCUACGGAAGGCAGCAG